CUGUUGGAGGGUUGCCCGAGUAGCACGGGGCCCGAGAAAUCCCGUGUGAAUCUGCCAGGACCACCUGGUAAGCCUGAAUACUACCUGUUGACCGAUAGCGGAUCAGUACCGUGAGGGAAUGGUGAAAAGUACCCCGGGAGGGGAGUGAAAUAGUACCUGAAACCAUGUGCCUACAAACCGUUGGAGCCUCCUUGUGGGGUGACAGCGUGCCUUUUGAAGAAUGAGCCUGCGAGUUAGUGAUACGUGGCG
Molecule: ribosomal RNA, 249 nt
Filed under: Xanthomonas citri pv. citri
Lineage: Bacteria; Pseudomonadati; Pseudomonadota; Gammaproteobacteria; Lysobacterales; Lysobacteraceae
Description: partial 23S ribosomal RNA
Rfam family: Bacterial large subunit ribosomal RNA
Source: RNAcentral